Molecule: long non-coding RNA, 2915 nt
Organism: Dromaius novaehollandiae (emu)
Lineage: Eukaryota; Metazoa; Chordata; Aves; Casuariiformes; Dromaiidae
Exons: 3
Source: RefSeq, a predicted model, not a curated record
UAUGAGGCAUCAGUCUGGGAAGACAAUACGAAUGGUGCCAGAGAGAAAAAAAAGAAAUGCUGAAUUAUAAAAUAGGUAUUCUGCUUGAUCUCAGCACAACCACAGUCUUUACUGGACGUGACCUUCUUGGAAAACUGCAUUGCUUUUAGAAAUAGGUUUGCACCAGAAAAUUUGAAUGCAGACUUUGGACACCACUGGUUGGCACAAUACACACCAGGGUUUUGGUUUCACCAGCUAUAGAAAUAUUGUCCAGUGACAAGUAUCCAUUUGCAUGCUAACUAUGGGUUUAUACAAGUAAAUGACAGAUUACAUGUAAACACACAUCCAUACUGAUCUGGCAGAAAGCAGUUCAUGCCAUAUUUUGCAGGCGUACUUUUGAAGGCCAGCUGAACGUAUUUUCCAUUUCCCAUCUAGCCUUAAAUAACAUAACAAAGUAAACCCCAUCUUUCUGUUUGGGUUAAGCAAUAUACCUUUGUAAUAUUAAAAAGCUUACACUGUAACUGUGUCUUUUUGUGAUGUGCAGCGGCUCCAUGCCGACAGAUGACGGGAAGGCUUCAGGAGUGCCAGUGAAUGUUCUGCUGCAGGAAAGCAGGCUGUGAAGAAUGCAUGCAGAAUCCAUAACUAUUGCCUAAGAGUAUGGAGAGCCUAACAGGGGAAAUAAAUCGCUUGGCAAUGUCGAGACCGAGGGACAGUACUUCUGGACAGAUGCUGUGUAUCCUGGGUUUUUGUUUUCCCUGAACUAUUUGGACAGAACUGAGCGCACCAGCUUUUUUUAACUGACUGAAAUAUAAAGCAGUAGAGGUAAUACAGAAAAAGGUAUGUGGCCAAUCUAAAACAGGCAGUGGCAAAAGUUAUGAUUCCCUAUGGCAUUGAGCUGCCCUUAAAAAGUUCAGGUAACAUAGUGUAAACCUUAUUUGCAAUUUAAAGAUUCUCACUAUAAAGUUGCUAUGACUUUGCCCUGGUUUAAAGCCGUAGGACAGGCCCCAGAUUUUCUCCGUAUCAGCCUUCCUCUGUGUGUCUGUGCGAUGGAGCGGUGCUGGUCCUUCUCUCUGGAAGCUGGGACUGUACCUAGAUCACACCGGGCUGCUUUGCUGGGCUCAUGUACCAGUAAAGGUUUGGUGGUGGCACUGAUAACUAGUCUUCUCUUCCACAUGAAAUGGUCAUUCAAAUGUUAGAUUUUGUUUAUUAUCCCCAGUUUGUCAAAAUGUGUGUGUGUGAUUAACAUUCAUUUACUGGGAUUUCACAAAAUGUGUGUAAGUCACACUGUGCUUUAUGGGCAUACAGUCUGCUUCUACUGCAUAUGGUCUACAAAUGCCAAAUAAGGGGUUGCUAUCACUUUUAACCAACUUUGGAGAGAAACGUGGCCCAAGGUACAUAGGGAAAGCUGUCUCUUUUUUCUGACCUAUCUUAAUGCCAAGCACAAAGGGUGAGAAAUGCAGAGCCUUGUGCAGUCGUGGCAAGGGCAAACAAACACAGCCCACAGCUUAGAAAUGUCACAAAUAUGCAAUAAACUGACUCUCUCCAAGGAAUAGUCACUACCACUCCUAGUGGGAGACUCCUAAAUACUGGGAUCUUUUCUGGGUAUGGUUGCUUCCAAAAAGAGAAUGCUGAACAGUGCGUUUUGAUGCCUUGAUUGAAUAUCUAUAUAAAACCUCAGAAUUUGUCCAUUUGUCCCUUGGAUGAUUUUCCCUCCAAAAAUCUUCAGUUGUCAGAGCGUACUUAGAUUUGUUCAUGCUCCCGUGCCGCAAAAGGUUAGAUUUCAGAUUCAGGUGGGAUGUUCAGUGACAGCUGAAAAUAAGAAAUGGAUAUUGUAGCCCUCAAAUAAAAUUCUUUCUUAUCAUUUACACCGUAAAUAUUAAUAACUGUGAUAUGAGUUACAUUUAAUGUCCAGUCACACUCCAGUAAGUGCCUGGCCUAAUAUCAGAGAAUUGAAUGCAUUGUGCAGAGUCUUAACUGGCACUAUUAGACCUUGUACUAAUCUUUGAAAUCAGUCAAGAUUUUUUUGAACUUUUGCUCAUUUUUUGAGGUAUAUAAACACCAGAAGAUGCAGUCAUUUGCAUUACUGAUUACUGUUUUUUUCCCAGAAUUUUCAGCUUUGAUCAAUUUUAGUUGCUUUUAAAAUCUUCAGUUUGGAAGACUUCACAUAUAUUUUAUGGAAUAAUAUUGUUUUAAACAGUAGUUUAAAGCAUUAUAGCUGAAAUAUCAAGAUAACCUGUUAAUAUACACAAAAUUCCUAAAAAAGUUGUACAUGUUACAGAAUUUAGAGAAAUUAGCUAUUUGUUCUAAGCAGGUAUUGUAGUAUGUGUGUACUGUAUUUGCACUGACAUUAAAUGCAGACACUAUGAAGACAAAAUUCUUCUAGCCCAAUGAUAGCAAUUUGUUGAACGUUUUCCAGCGCUAAACUAAGAAACCACUCUUUAAAGUUAUUUCUAAAAUAUGUAAACAAUAGAGGUUUCUCCCAGUCUUUGCAGUUCCUUGUCCAGUUUGUGAAAUAUGUGCAAUUAGAGGAAGAAAUGGAUGGGCGGAAGAUCUGAUUUAUUGCCCUCUUUAUAGUUUUGGAUAUUAUGACUGAGGUACAUAAAUACUGAAUGACUCACUGAAGUAUGAUCUAAAUUUUAUACAUCAAUGCAACAGAUUCCAACUGUUUUAGUUAAAACUGAUUAAUUUUUUAGAGGCCAUUCUGUCAUGUCUAGCUGCAUAAUGACCAGAUCUUUUUAGUGACGUUCUUAAACUCAGGUAUGUACAUUUUGUCUUAAUGCCUAAAUUUAGAAAUAUGUAUUUGAAAAAGAUGGUCUUGAUAUAAGAUGCCAUGGGUUAUGCAUAGUGUUUUUCAGAGAAUGACCAAACAUUAAAUCACCUAUUUCAUAACACUUCAGAGUAAGCUUGUUCUCUAAAGUGAAAGCUGUAUCACCUGA